GGGUGAGACCUGAUGCCGAGCCGUUUGUGGUGAAGUGGAUGAUCCUGUGCUGUCGAGAAAAGCCUCUAGCGAGUUGUGUGGCGGCCCGUACCCUAAACCGACUCAGGUGGUCUGGUAGAGAAUACCGAGGCGUUCGGGUGAACUAUGGUUAAGGAACUCGGCAAAAUGCCCCCGUAACUUCGGGAGAAGGGGGGCCAUGUCUGGUGAGGGCACGUGCUGUCUGAGCUGGGUGUGGCCGCAGAGACCAGCGAGAAGCGACUGUUUACUAAAAACACAGGUCCGUGCGAAGCCGUAAGGCGAGGUAUACGGACUGACGCCUGCCCGGUGCUGGAACGUUAAGGGGACCGGUUAGUCACAUUUCGGUGUGGUGAAGCUGAGAACUUAAGCGCCAGUAAACGGCGGUGGUAACUAUAACCAUCCUAAGGUAGCGAAAUUCCUUGUCGGGUAAGUUCCGACCUGCACGAAUGGCGUAACGACUUCUUGACUGUCUCAACCAUAGGCCCGGUGAAAUUGCACUACGAGUAAAGAUGCUCGUUUCGCGCAGCAGGACGGAAAGACCCCGGGACCUUUACUACAGCUUGAUAUUGGUGUUCGGUUCGGCUUGUGUAGGAUAGGUGGGAGACUGUGAUGCGGACACGCCAGUGUUCGUGGAGUCGUUGUUGAAAUACCACUCUGGUCGUGCUGGAUGUCUAACCUGGGUCCGUGAUCCGGAUCGGGGACAGUGUCUGGUGGGUAGUUUAACUGGGGCGGUUGCCUCCUAAAGAGUAACGGAGGCGCCCAAAGGUUCCCUCAGCCUGGUUGGUCAUCAGGUGGUGAGUGUAAGUGCACAAGGGAGCUUGACUGUGAGACUGACGGGUCGAGCAGGGACGAAAGUCGGGACUAGUGAUCCGGCGGUGGCUUGUGGAAGCGCCGUCGCUCAACGGAUAAAAGGUACCCCGGGGAUAACAGGCUGAUCUUCCCCAAGAGUCCAUAUCGACGGGAUGGUUUGGCACCUCGAUGUCGGCUCGUCGCAUCCUGGGGCUGGAGUCGGUCCCAAGGG
Molecule: ribosomal RNA, 1039 nt
Filed under: Streptomyces sp. CNT318
Lineage: Bacteria; Bacillati; Actinomycetota; Actinomycetes; Kitasatosporales; Streptomycetaceae
Description: bacterial LSU rRNA
Rfam family: Bacterial large subunit ribosomal RNA
Source: RNAcentral